This is an RNA transcript of Osmia lignaria (orchard mason bee), 2775 nucleotides long. RefSeq lists it as uncharacterized. The record is from RefSeq and is a predicted model, not a curated record. NCBI's taxonomy places the organism in Eukaryota, Metazoa, Arthropoda, Insecta, Hymenoptera, Megachilidae.
GUGGCAAUAGAUAACAUGAAACAUUGCUUUCCGUCAAAAGUGUUCAAGGUGGAAAUCGUUGACGCCAUUUCGUAUCUCGUUUCGCUGUUAGCGUCACGAAAGUUUUGUCCCUUUUUACUUUAAUUUAAUUUUGCCAAAACGUCGCAGCCACAUACACCUGUUCUUUUUUGUGAUUGUAAAAACGUAAAACACUGAAUUUUUACGUAUAAUGUAUAAUCAUAAAAUGGUUUCAUCUAAUCAACCGAGGAAAACAAAAAUAUUUGUGGGUCGGUUACCAGAAAAUUGUCGCAACGAUGAGUUGCGAGCAUUAUUUUUACGUUUUGGUGAGGUAACUGAGUGCGAUGUCAUGAAUCGGUAUGGGUUUGUCCACAUGGCGCGCGAGGAAGAUGCGGCUGCAGCGAUCAAAGCGCUUCACAAUUCCAACUUCAAAGGGGCGACAAUCAAUGUGGAACAGUCUACCGGCAAAUCACGUGGAGGAGGAGGAGGACGCAGGGAUGGCGACAGAAGAGGUGGACCAAUGAGAGGUGGUAGAGGAGGACGAGACGGUGGUAGAGACGCUCGUCCUGGACCUUACAAUGAUAGAAGAGUUCUUCCGAUCCAACUCGUUGGUUACGAUGGAUCUGCUGCAGGUGGCGUCGCAACCGGGUACACCGAUUACAAUCGUGGCGCUGGAGACUUUAGUGGACGUGGGGCUGACUUCGGGACCGGAUACACCGACCGUGGAGCGUACGGGCAAAACGUGGGUAGCGCGGCGAUGGGCUACACUUCAACAGCGCCUGGAAUGGGAGGAGGAUACGGACCAGCCACCGGAGCAGUUGGAGGAUACGGACCUACCGGGACAGCUGACUACGGCCGAACAGACUAUAGCCGCGCUGCAGAUUUUGGAGCUAGAACAGAUUAUGUUGUUGGAGGUGGAAUGACUGGGGAUUUUAGUCGUGGCGCACCAGGUCCAAUGGAUUAUGGACGUACUGAUAACUUUGGUGCAAAUCGCACUGUUGAUUAUACAGCUAGAAAUGAUUAUGAUCGAACUGCAACAGGACCUAUGAGAAAUGGUGGUGGUGCGGUUGCCACUACUGGGUAUGGCACAGGGUACACAGAUGUAGGAUAUGAUGAAAGCCACUGGGGUUAUCCGGGCGGGCCUGGGGAUAUGAUGGGUGGGCCCGGGGGGGUAAGUCAGGGAGCUACGAUGGCCUAUGACAGGAGGGAUGGUCCCCCUGUUAAUGAUAUGCCUCCGUUUAACAGGCCAAUGAGUACAGGACCCAGCUACAGCACUGGGGCACCUAGUUACAGUACUGGUCCAGGACCACAAGCAGAUAUGUUUAGUAGAAGACCAGGCAGUGCUGUCCCCAGUGGUGGAUAUCCUCCUGUUGGUGGAGGUUAUACCGAAGGAUACGACAGACCAGACGCAUAUGGUCCUCCGCGUAGUGGUGGACGAGUCGAACAGUUAGAUCAGACAGGGAUACAGAAGUGAAGUUUUCAAAACGCUCGCUGUGGACCAAGAUAUCGUACAUGCGUCUACUAUAGUUUCCACCAUAAACAUGUGUACAAAGUGUUUCCACUCGAUUAUCAUUGGGACACUCUGUAUGUGUAUUUAUAAUAAUUCAUUUAUUCUUAACUCAUUGCACUUCAAAUCUAUCUCAGUUUGUAUAAAUUACAGUUCAAAUAUUUCUUAAGAAAAUCACUGUGCAAAGAGUUAACGAUAAGAAACAAUGUUACCAAAUAAUUUCUUAAGUUUUUAAAUAUAACGUUGGAAUAUUUAGUGUUUACUUUGCUGAAUGUAUUCGGUCCACAGCGUCCGUACAUCAUAAAUUUUAAUGUUCCUAUUAUAGAAAUCUCCAUGUACAACAAAUGUUUCUUUGUCAAUUCGAAUCUCCUACCCUCUGUAAGAAAGUUAGUAGUAUAAUACUGAACCAUACGUUCUGAUCUCGAUCAUUUGUAUUAAUUUGGUAUGUUUAAAAAAAGAAAAGUUCUAUUGAAUGUACGAAAGGUACUUUGUUAUGAAAAUACAAGUGUAAAUGCAGAACUUCAUUUGGAAGUUGAUGGAGAAAUCUACAAUGACUUGUACUUAGAACAGCGUAAUCUUGAAUUGUGCGACGAACCCGCGUAAGCGCAGCUCACUUCGAAUCCUGGUGGCAUAUCAACGUCAGAUUAUACGAAGAGACGAUAUCAAGUCGCUUACCUAUGCGUGUGGCCCGUAGAUGCGACCACUGGUGAAUAAUGCAAGCUUCGAUAUGCGGAUAACGUGCUACAAAUUGCGUUUGCGCUCAAAGCUGGCGGUGCUUUGAAUUUAAACAGAAGAUUACAAGCGGGAUGACGACUCAGUGAGGACAAUGAGAUGAACUCAGAUUGGAAGUAUGGGUCCUAAUAAUACCAUGGAGUCUCUUCCUGUAUACUCAGGUCCGUGGAUUUAUUCCAUCAACAGGAAUGUUUGCAACGACGUUAAAAAGAAGAAAGUUGCGGGAAAAGAAGAGAAAAAAGAAUUUCUCUUUUUGUUCAGGUGUAUUAAAGAUUUUAGUUGGUGUUCAAUAACUUCGCCGUAGGAAUAUGUCUGUCGUUAUGAAAGUUUAGGCUCGGGCCCAACACCUCCUGCAAGUUUGUAGACUAAUGAUGCCACAUCUACAAUUAAUUUCUUAAGAUCAUUUUCAUUUUCACAUUCUGCAUAUACCCGUACCACAUCUUCGGUACCCGAGGGCCUAAAAGUAUACAUUUUUAAAUAUUUUUUUUAUACUUUCUACAUGCUAUUAAAUAUAUGAUAUAUGAUAAUAAUUACCUUAA